GAUUAAGCCAUGCAUGUCUAAGUACAUGCCGUAUUAAGGCGAAACCGCGAAUGGCUCAUUAAAUCAGUUGUGGUUCCUUAGAUCGUACCUUACUACUUGGAUAACUGUGGUAAUUCUAGAGCUAAUACAUGCAGCAGAGCUCCGACCCUUGCGGGGACGAGCGCUUUUAUUAGACCAAGACCAAUCGGACCUCGGUCCGCUUAGUGUGGCGACUCUGUAUAACUUUGGGCUGAUCGCACGGGCUCGACCCGGCGACGCAUCUUUCAAGUGUCUGCCCUAUCAACUGUCGAUGGUAGGUUACGCGCCUACCAUGGUUGUGACGGGUAACGGGGAAUCAGGGUUCGAUUCCGGAGAGGGAGCCUGAGAAACGGCUACCACAUCCAAGGAAGGCAGCAGGCGCGCAAAUUACCCAAUCCCGGCUCGGGGAGGUAGUGACGAAAAAUAACGAUACGGGACUCUUUUGAGACCCCGUAAUCGGAAUGAGAACGAUUUAAAUCCUUUAACGAGGAACGACUGGAGAGUAAGUCUUGUGCCAGCAAUCGCGGUAAGUCAAGCUCCAGUAGCGUAUAUUAGAGUUGUUGCGGUUAAAAAGCUCGUAGUUGGAUCUCAGUUCCAGACGGAUCGUCUGCCUAACGGCGGUUACUGUCCGGCCUGAACAAUCAGCCGGUUUCCCUCGAUGAUCUUCGUUGGUUGUCCCGGGUGACCGGCGCGUUUACUUUGAAAAAAUUAGAGUGCUCAGGGCAGGCUAAGUAAGCCCGAAUAUUUGUGCAUGGAAUAAUGGAAUAGGACCUCUGUUCUAUUGUGUUGGUUUUCGGAACGCGAGGUAAUGAUAAGAGGGACAGACGGGGGCAUCCGUAUUGCGGCGCUAGAGGUGAAAUUCUUGGACCGCGCACGACGAACUACUGCGAAAGCAUUUGCCAAGAAUGUUUCCAUUAAUCAAGAACGAAAGUUAGAGGAUUGAAGGCGAUCAGAUACCGCCCUAAUUCUAACCAUAAACGAUGCCAACCAGCGAUCCGCCUGGGUUCCUCAAAUGACUCGGCGGGCAGCUUCCGGGAAACCAAAGUCUUUGGGUUCCGGGGGGAGUAUGGUUGCAAAACUCAAACUUAAAGACAUUGACGGAAGCGCACACAAGGAGUGGAUCGUGCGGCUUAAUUUGACUCAACACGGGCACACCUUACCCGACUCGGAGGCUGGGAGGAUUGACAGAUUGAUAGCUCUUUCUUGAUUCAGCUAAUCGUGGUGCAUGGUCGUUCUUAGUUGGUGGGGCGACUUGUCUGGUCCAUUCCGAUAACGAGCGAGACUCUAGCCUGCUAAAUAGGCGCUCCGAUUCUAUUUGCCGUCGGGCGCGUAUCUUCUUAGAGGGACGGGCGGCUUCCAGCCGCACGAGUCAGAGCGAUAACAGGUCAGUGAUGCCUUUAGACAGCCGGGGCCGCACGCGCGCUACAAUGAAGGAGGCAGCGUGUGCUCUCCCUGUCCGGUAGGAUUGGGUAAUCCGUUGAAAAUCCUUCGUGAUUGGGAUCGAUCCUUGUAAUUGGAUCGUGAACGAGGAAUUCCUAGUAAGCGCGAGUCAUUAGCUCGCGUUGAUUACGUCCCUGCGCUUUGUGCACACCGCCCGUCGAUGUUUUCGAUUGGACGGUGUAGUGAGGUCUUCGGACUGGCGCUCGGUGCGGUUUUUGCCGCGUCGAAGUGCAGGAAAGAUGCCCGAACUUGACCGUCUAGAGAAAGCACAAGUCG
RNAcentral lists this ribosomal RNA (1734 nucleotides) under Leclercera sp. 85 FL-2018. RNAcentral's name for it is "SSU rRNA". It matches the Rfam family "Eukaryotic small subunit ribosomal RNA". Lineage: Eukaryota; Metazoa; Arthropoda; Arachnida; Araneae; Ochyroceratidae. The record is from RNAcentral.